Haliotis rufescens (red abalone) is the source of this 481-nucleotide long non-coding RNA. RefSeq lists it as uncharacterized. The record is from RefSeq and is a predicted model, not a curated record. Lineage: Eukaryota; Metazoa; Mollusca; Gastropoda; Lepetellida; Haliotidae. The transcript is spliced from 2 exons.
CGCUCAAAGGAGAAAGUUUCUCAGUGAGGAAGGCUCAUACUCCGAUUCAUCUUUCUUCCUAACAGUGAUGAAGAACUUGCUGAGAUAAUCUUCAAGGACAGGUGGCUCAAUCUCUUCAAUGGCCCUAGCCUCGCCUUCCUGCGCCAGAAACUGCUUUAAAAGAUUCAGGUAAACAUCACAGUCAAGGUGUUUAAAGAAAGAGAAACAGAGUAUAUUACUGGGUUGGCUUGAAAGCCCACACCAAUAAAGGAAGUAGUAGUUGACGACGUAACUGGACAAAUGAACCUUAGUCUGGGACGAACAAAUUCCAUAUAUCUUGAUGGGUGAGGGCUACAAACUGAAGCACAUACAACUUCGUGAAUAUGGAAAAAAAUACCUAACCACUUCAAAAGAUUCGCACAUCACACCAUGUAGUAGCAUAGGUGACGUUUGUUCGUCUGAUGAUGACACUCUUACAGCUGAAAUUAACUUGGUCACUAUC